UCUUCAAAAACCAAAGAAGAAUAGGAUUUGUAAAUUACCAUAAUAAUUCCCUUGAUGAUUUCGUCCGUGUAAAACUCUGGCUCUGUUUCUCUCAACUUCAACAAGUUAUGUAUCAUCAAUUUCUUCACCUCUGCCUCCCUUCCAGCUCCACGAUUUUCAUCAACCAGUUCCUGCAAAAACCUAUCCAUCUUUUUCAUCAACCCCACCAUCUUCUUCUCCACACCCAGCAA
Molecule: long non-coding RNA, 230 nt
Organism: Quercus robur (English oak)
Lineage: Eukaryota; Viridiplantae; Streptophyta; Magnoliopsida; Fagales; Fagaceae
Exons: 2
Source: RefSeq, a predicted model, not a curated record